Triticum aestivum (bread wheat) is the source of this 135-nucleotide non-coding RNA. NCBI's taxonomy places the organism in Eukaryota, Viridiplantae, Streptophyta, Magnoliopsida, Poales, Poaceae. The record is from Rfam.
UUUGUACUCCCUCUGUCCCAAAAUUCUUGUCUUAAAUUUGUCUAAAUACGGAUGUAUCUAGUUACAUUUUAGUGUUAGAUACAUCCGUAUCUAAACAAAUGUAAGACAAGAAUUUUGGGACGGAGGGAAUACUAC